GAGCGCCCCGCAAGGGGAGCGGCAGACGGGAGAGUAACACGUGGGAACGUACCCUUCAGUUCGGAACAACCCAGGGAAACUUGGGCUAAUACCGGAUACGUCCGUAAGGAGAAAGAUUUAUCGCUGAAGGAGCGGCCCGCGUCUGAUUAGCUUGUUGGUGAGGUAACGGCUCACCAAGGCUACGAUCAGUAGCUGGUCUGAGAGGAUGAUCAGCCUCACUGGGACUGAGACACGGCCCAGACUCCUACGGGAGGCAGCAGUGGGGAAUAUUGGACAAUGGGCGCAAGCCUGAUCCAGCCAUGCCGCGUGGAUGAUGAAGGCCCUAGGGUUGUAAAGUCCUUUCGGCGGGGAAGAUAAUGACGGUACCCGCAGAAGAAGCCCCGGCUAACUUCGUGCCAGCAGCCGCGGUAAUACGGAGGGGGCUAGCGUUGCUCGGAAUCACUGGGCGUAAAGCGCACGUAGGCGGCUUUUUAAGUCAGGGGUGAAAUCCUGGAGCUCAACUCCAGAACUGCCUUUGAUACUGAGAAGCUUGAGUCCGGGAGAGGUGAGUGGAACUGCGAGUGUAGAGGUGAAAUUCGUAGAUAUUCGCAAGAACACCAGUGGCGAAGGCGGCUCACUGGCCCGGUACUGACGCUGAGGUGCGAAAGCGUGGGGA
Molecule: ribosomal RNA, 655 nt
Filed under: uncultured bacterium
Lineage: Bacteria
Description: bacterial SSU rRNA
Rfam family: Bacterial small subunit ribosomal RNA
Source: RNAcentral